RNAcentral lists this ribosomal RNA (467 nucleotides) under uncultured bacterium. RNAcentral describes it as "partial 16S ribosomal RNA". It matches the Rfam family "Bacterial small subunit ribosomal RNA", at positions 28 to 506 of the family's 1533-position model. The record is from RNAcentral.
GACGAACGCUGGCGGCGUGCUUAACACAUGCAAGUCGAACGGAAAGGCCCUGCUUUUGUGGGGUGCUCGAGUGGCGAACGGGUGAGUAACACGUGAGUAACCUGCCCUUGACUUUGGGAUAACUUCAGGAAACUGGGGCUAAUACCGGAUAGGAGCUCCUGCUGCAUGGUGGGGGUUGGAAAGUUUCGGCGGUUGGGGAUGGACUCGCGGCUUAUCAGCUUGUUGGUGGGGUAGUGGCUUACCAAGGCUUUGACGGGUAGCCGGCCGGAACGGGUGACCGGCCACAUUGGGACUGAGAUAGGGCCCGGACUCCUACGGGAGGGAGGAGGGGGGAAGGUAUCACGAAGGACGGAAGCAUGAUGGAGCAACGCCGGGUGCGGGAGGACGGACUUCGGGUUGUAAGCCGCUUUCGCUUGUGACGAAGCGUGAGUGACGGAAAUGGGUAAAGAAGCACCGGCAAACUACGG